GCAUUUUUCAUCUCUACAGAGCUAACAGCAGGCGCCAACGAGUAUGUUACAUUGGCAGUCGAGAUAUCAGCAGUCGUCUUUAACAUCCCUGCAAAACUCGAAUGACCGAAACUAGAACACAUUCACAGAAAUUUUCGAAUGUCACUAAUACAUAAAUAGUACAUGUGAGAAUUCGCUAUGAAAAAAUCUUAGAAUGAAACAACAUCUUAUAAUUUUUGAACUGCUUUAUAAUAUCUUAUUCACUCGCACACGUUGCAUGCAUAUGGAUAGUGAAAUUUCGCGGAAAGAAAAAUGAACAAAACACAGCAAUCGUGACUUGCAAUUAAUUUGUGAAUUGUGCGGCUUGGCGUUCAGCCAUUUAAAUAAAAAUUUAUUUCAGCGGUGGGAAAUAAAAACUUUGUGUGCCUUCGUUCCAAUCUUACAAUUGCAAUUACAAAAUUGUGCGGCUCGGCGUUCGAGCAUUUUUAUAAAGAUUUCAGCGGUGGAAAUUAAGCGUUGUGUGCCUUUGUUUCAAACUUACAAGUCCAGCCCAGUUUUUGUGUGCAGCAUUUUCGUUCGGUGGUUUAAACUUGGCCAGGUGUCGUGACCCUAUUAAUUUGUCCGGGACUAUAUAUAAAUCUGUAUGCAUAAAUCUAUGAUUUUUAAACAUGGAAUUUUUUAAUUAAGACGCUUACUGAAUCUUGUGAAUACCCUAAAUACAUAAAUUUGAACUUACUAAGUACAAAUAAAUGUAUUAAAAUAAAAAAGUACA
This is a long non-coding RNA of Rhagoletis zephyria (snowberry fruit fly), 751 nucleotides long. RefSeq lists it as uncharacterized. NCBI's taxonomy places the organism in Eukaryota, Metazoa, Arthropoda, Insecta, Diptera, Tephritidae. The record is from RefSeq and is a predicted model, not a curated record.